AGACGGAGGGCGCAAGCGUUGUUCGGAAUUACUGGGCGUAAAGCGCGGGCAGGCGGUCUGUUAAGUCUUCUGUGAAAACCCGGGGCUCAACCCCGUGGAAUGCAGAGGAUACUGGCAGACUGGAGACCGGUAGAGGCUAGCGGAAUUCCUGGUGUAGCGGUGGAAUGCGUAGAUAUCAGGAAGAACACCUGUGGCGAAGGCGGCUAGCUGGGCCGGGUCUGACGCUCAUCCGCGAAAGCGUGGGGAGCAAACAGGAUUAGAUACCCUAGUAGUCC
RNAcentral lists this ribosomal RNA (275 nucleotides) under uncultured bacterium. RNAcentral's name for it is "partial 16S ribosomal RNA". It matches the Rfam family "Bacterial small subunit ribosomal RNA", at positions 523 to 796 of the family's 1533-position model. The record is from RNAcentral.